UAGUUCAAUAGUAGAGCACUUGCCUAGCAUGUAUGAGGCUCUGGGUUCAAUUCCCAG
RNAcentral lists this transfer RNA (57 nucleotides) under Urocitellus parryii (Arctic ground squirrel). RNAcentral describes it as "Spermophilus parryii (Arctic ground squirrel) tRNA". It matches the Rfam family "tRNA", at positions 8 to 63 of the family's 71-position model. Rfam says of the family: Transfer RNA (tRNA) molecules are approximately 80 nucleotides in length. RNAcentral also lists the same sequence under 2 other names. Lineage: Eukaryota; Metazoa; Chordata; Mammalia; Rodentia; Sciuridae. The record is from Rfam by way of RNAcentral.